Coffea eugenioides is the source of this 835-nucleotide long non-coding RNA. RefSeq lists it as uncharacterized. Lineage: Eukaryota; Viridiplantae; Streptophyta; Magnoliopsida; Gentianales; Rubiaceae. The record is from RefSeq and is a predicted model, not a curated record. The transcript has 2 exons.
UUUUCUUUUUGGGGUGCUUUAUUCGUGCUUCAUUACGUAUUUCUCUAUUUGACACAGACAUAGCUAAGAUAGCUCCCUCUUACAAACAAAACUAGGGUUUCCAAGAUUCCUCCCUAAACUCCAAAUCCCUAGCUGAAAAGCCUUGCAAUAAUGGGGUUUCACUUGGUUCUAGUAGUAGUAGCAAAGCUCAAACUCUUGAGCGCAGGUCAUCACAUGUGCUUAAGCACUCCAAUAAUGGCCAGCUUAGUAGGCCCUUUUUUGCUCAAGUUCAUCUUCACUACUUUCAAACCUCUUCAUCAGGUUUUCAUCAAUGCAGCCUAUUCUUCCAGAUUGUUCAUCUUUCAGAUGGGCCAGAUAACCUUCAGUUCCCAGCCACCAGGAUUCACUAACGGCGCCAACACCAGGUGGCAGCGGGCUCUCCGGUUGGUGAGCGAGAGAUUGAUUCUUGCUCGGCAGUCGCAGACCACAGAUUCUGAAGAGGAGAGUAUCCGUGCUAUCUCAGUUCUAGCCCUCUAAGCUCUCAGACAGAUGUCUUGAAAAAUCUCUUAUUAACUUGUGGAUUUUCCUUCUUUGAGGAUCAACACAAAGAACAAAUUCAUGAGUGCUAUAUGAAACAGGUUUGUAUAACUGGUAUGCAAUUGGUGAAGAGAUGCUUAUGUGUUAGUAUUUAUAAAAGUGCUAUAUGAAACAGGUUUGUAUGCAAUUGGUGAAGAGAUGCUUCUGUGUUAGUAUUUAUAAAAAUUGUCAUUAAAACUUGAAAGUGUCCGAUGUAAAAUAAAUGUGAGCAUGUAUUUUUACAAUAACAUGGGAUUCGAGGCAUCUAAUUAAGUUGCUA